RNAcentral lists this ribosomal RNA (253 nucleotides) under uncultured bacterium. RNAcentral's name for it is "partial 16S ribosomal RNA". It matches the Rfam family "Bacterial small subunit ribosomal RNA", at positions 524 to 776 of the family's 1533-position model. The record is from RNAcentral.
UACGUAGGGGGCUAGCGUUGUCCGGAUUUAUUGGGCGUAAAGAGCGUGUAGGCGGCCAGGUAGGUCUGGUGUGAAAACUCGAGGCUUAACCUCGAGAUGUCAUCGGAAACCAUCUGGCUAGAGUCCGGAAGAGGAGAGUGGAAUUCCUGGUGUAGCGGUGAAAUGCGCAGAUAUCAGGAAGAACACCAAUGGCGAAAGCAGUUCUCUGGGACGGUACUGACGCUGAGACGCGAAAGCGUGGGGAGCGAACAGG